Bombyx mori (domestic silkworm) is the source of this 110-nucleotide non-coding RNA. The record is from RefSeq and is marked provisional. NCBI's taxonomy places the organism in Eukaryota, Metazoa, Arthropoda, Insecta, Lepidoptera, Bombycidae.
GGAUCUUCUACCCCGCAGUUAGGCUGAAUAUCUCGGUAGAAUCAGUCAGAAUGCAAUUGUUUGAAAGUUGGAUGAUGUGAUAUAUUGUGAUAUUUGUACAAGCAAACUCA